RNAcentral lists this ribosomal RNA (512 nucleotides) under uncultured bacterium. RNAcentral's name for it is "partial 16S ribosomal RNA". It matches the Rfam family "Bacterial small subunit ribosomal RNA", at positions 28 to 507 of the family's 1533-position model. The record is from RNAcentral.
GAUGAACGCUGGCGGCGUGCCUAAUACAUGCAAGUCGAACGAAACUUCUUUAUCACCGAGUGCUUGCACUCACCGAUAAAGAGUUGAGUGGCGAACGGGUGAGUAGCACGUGGGCAACCUGCCCAAAAGAGGGGGAUAACACUUGGAAACAGGUGCUAAUACCGCAUAACCAUAGUUACCGCAUGGUAACUAUGUAAAAGGUUGCUAUACUACCGCUUUUGGAUGGGCCCGCGGCGCAUUAGCUAGUUGGUAGGGUAAAGGCUUACCAAGGCAAUGAUGCGUAGCCGAAUUGAGAGGUUGAUCGGCCACAUUGGGACUGAGACACGGCCCAAACUCCUACGGGAGGCAGCAGUAGGGAAUCUUCCGCAAUGGGCGAAAGCCUGAUGGAGCAACGCCGCGUGGGUGAAGAAGGUCUUCGGAUCGUAAAACCCUGUUGUUAGAGAAGAAAGUGCGUGAGAGUAACUGUUCACGUUUCGACGGUAUCUAACCAGAAAGCCACGGCUAACUACGUG